Molecule: non-coding RNA, 20 nt
Filed under: Arabidopsis thaliana (thale cress)
Lineage: Eukaryota; Viridiplantae; Streptophyta; Magnoliopsida; Brassicales; Brassicaceae
Source: RNAcentral
UGGCCAGUCAACGUUUUUAU